RNAcentral lists this ribosomal RNA (423 nucleotides) under uncultured bacterium. RNAcentral describes it as "bacterial SSU rRNA". It matches the Rfam family "Bacterial small subunit ribosomal RNA", at positions 355 to 775 of the family's 1533-position model. The record is from RNAcentral.
UGAGGAAUAUUGGUCAAUGGGCGAGAGCCUGAACCAGCCAAGUCGCGUGAAGGAAGAAGGUUCUAUGGAUUGUAAACUUCUUUUGUAAGGGAAUAAAAAAGAGUACGUGUAUUCUAUUGUAUGUACUUUACGAAUAAGGAUCGGCUAACUCCGUGCCAGCAGCCGCGGUAAUACGGAGGAUCCGAGCGUUAUCCGGAUUUAUUGGGUUUAAAGGGUGCGUAGGCGGACUUAUAAGUCAGCGGUGAAAGUUUGCAGCUUAACUGUAAAAUUGCCGUUGAAACUGUUAGUCUUGAGUGUAAAUGAGGUAGGCGGAAUGUGUUGUGUAGCGGUGAAAUGCUUAGAUAUAACACAGAACACCAAUUGCGAAGGCAGCUUACUGGGAUACAACUGACGCUGAGGCACGAAAGCGUGGGGAUCAAACAG